CUGAAGCAAUUCCUUUGACCUCUUGGCUUGGUUUUUGCUCUGAUAUGCAUUUUUAGCUGUGUGCCAAUCAUGUCCAAUCAAUUGAAUUUGCAGAAGGACACCAAUCAAAGUGUACAAUAUGCUAAAGAUGAGAUGCACCUGAGCUAAAUUUUUAGUGUCAAUGCAACGCUUCGCACUCUGCUAAACUGCAAUCUUGCAAAUCUGCAAAAGAUCUCUCACGAGAUAGUUGUGGUUAAUAACAAGUCAGGAUGUGGGAGAAGAUAUACUGAAAAUUAAAAACAGCACACAAGAGCUUCACUGCUGAAGGAAACAAAAGGAAAACAAGGGAAAGAGCACAUUCAAAGGUGAGUGAAAGAUGUCUUACCAGAGAUUUGUAGCGUUGGCAAACAGUUGGAUAUUGACGUUGGCCGUCCUCCUAAGCAUCUUUGGGCCAGGAUGUCACACAAAAGGAGAUCAAGACAAUGUAUCACAUCAGAAUCAAGAUUCUGUGAUUGAAAAAAAUCGCAGGUCAGACAAAACACUUUUAUUUAUUUAUUUAUUUAAAGCAGUAUUGUUCAUAAAUGGGAUACAAAAUAUGAAAAUCAACAGAAAAAAAAACAGAAUGGCCAGUGAAAGGAGAUUGACCUAGUGAAAACAUUGUUUGUCAACUUCAAGAUAUCAAACUAAAUAUUAUAUGAACUGUAUGUUACUUUUUUAAACAAAAAACCAUUAAACUGUGUUACAUCUUGUCAGAGCUGCUGUGUAUGUUGUAACUACUCUAGGGUUAUAAAGAAGGAAGUGACACACCAAAGGAUAAAACUAGUCUGGCUUGGCAAGGAGAGAAUACCCAAAUUUUAUAUUUAUAUAUUUAAAAUAUAUUUUUACUAUUUACUUCAACAUGUCAAGAGCAGAUCACAUUUAUUUAUUUAUUAUUUUUUAAUUUGUUUGUUUGUUUGAAUAAACAUAUAAUUAACUUUAAUCCAAUAUUUAAUCUAAUUUAAUUUAAUUAAAAAAAUAUAUAUAUUCUUCCAGUUUUCAAAGAGCAGAUCUUUGUGGUGGGCAGCGAUGUCACUUUAUGGUGUACCGAUAAUGCCACUGAUGUCAAAUUGAAUGAAUUCAUUUAUGUUGUGUGGAACAUGAGCAUGCAAGGCAAAAAAUGUUAUCUUGGUUUGUCACACAAACUGGAUGACACUUGUAAUGAUGGAAAGAAGCUGAACAACACUUCAUUUUCCUUAUUCAUUCCCAAUAUUUCAAUGGAAGAUGAAGGAAGAAGCAAUGCUGUAAAUAUCUCUGUAAGCGUUACUCGCCUGGAAACUCAGCUGGACAGUGAAAAUGGUCAGAGGAUUGCUGUCUGUAAGGCCACAUAUAAAGAGACGGAACCCACUCUUCACUGGGAACCUGCCUUGAACUUUUCCUCCAAAAACACUUUUCCCAAGAAGGUUGACACGUUUUUUAUUAUGGAGAAUCGUGUACAUCUGCCUAAUGAUGUGACCAUCAGUACCCUCACCUGCGUGGCCUCAUACCCCUCUGUGUCCGGCUCUGUGCAGCAUAAGAGCACACUUGAUCUUACAACACAAGGAAUAAGAUUUUGUCUCAGAAUGAAGGACAAAACACCCGAGAAGAGAUGAAGAAAUACAGAAGCAUAAACAGGAUGUGGGUGGCAAAAACAGGCAUGAUAAGAAAGUGAACUGGAGGGAGGUGUUUACCUGAGAACUGCUGACAUUACAUUUUAACAUAGAGCAUCUGAAAAAGUAGAGCAAAAGCACCAAAGAGGGCAUUAAAUAUGUCCAUAAUGAUCUAUGUUCAUUUUUUUCUUGAAUGAAGAUGCAAUUAAAUUUUUAUUUGGCCUUUGAGUCAACCAAAUUUAGUAAUAUAGUCCAACAUUUUGCUUGUGCUGUCUUUCUUUUAUAUAAAUGCCACGUGCUUUGAUUUUUUUAAUAUAAUGCCAAGACAUUUAAGUGUAGUUUAAGAGUCCAAAUGGUUUUGGGGCAAAUUGUAAAGCUAGCAGUUAUUUGAAGAAGUCUCACAAAUGUCCACAAAUCCUUUUUUUUUUUUUUUUUUUUUAAGAAAUAAGAGAUGCAUAAAACACAUUAUUCCCAAACUUA
This is a long non-coding RNA of Ctenopharyngodon idella (grass carp), 2084 nucleotides long. RefSeq lists it as uncharacterized. The record is from RefSeq and is a predicted model, not a curated record. The transcript is spliced from 4 exons. NCBI's taxonomy places the organism in Eukaryota, Metazoa, Chordata, Actinopteri, Cypriniformes, Xenocyprididae.